GAUGAACGCUGGCGGCGUGCCUAAUACAUGCAAGUCGAGCGAACGGACGAGGAGCUUGCUUCUCUGAUGUUAGCGGCGGACGGGUGAGUAACACGUGGAUAACCUACCUAUAAGACGGGGAUAACUUCGGGAAACCGGAGCUAAUACCGGAUAAUAUUUUGAACCGCAUGGUUCAAAAGUGAAAGACGGUCUUGCUGUCACUUAUAGAUGGAUCCGCGCUGCAUUAGCUAGUUGGUAAGGUAACGGCUUACCAAGGCAACGAUGCAUAGCCGACCUGAGAGGGUGAUCGGCCACACUGGAACUGAGACACGGUCCAGACUCCUACGGGAGGCAGCAGUAGGGAAUCUUCCGCAAUGGGCGAAAGCCUGACGGAGCAACGCCGCGUGAGUGAUGAAGGUCUUCGGAUCGUAAAACUCUGUUAUUAGGGAAGAACAUAUGUGUAAGUAACUGUGCACAUCUUGACGGUACCUAAUCAGAAAGCCACGGCUAACUACGUGCCAGCAGCCGCGGUAAUACGUAGGUGGCAAGCGUUAUCCGGAAUUAUUGGGCGUAAAGCGCGCGUAGGCGGUUUUUUAAGUCUGAUGUGAAAGCCCACGGCUCAACCGUGGAGGGUCAUUGGAAACUGGAAAACUUGAGUGCAGAAGAGGAAAGUGGAAUUCCAUGUGUAGCGGUGAAAUGCGCAGAGAUAUGGAGGAACACCAGUGGCGAAGGCGACUUUCUGGUCUGUAACUGACGCUGAUGUGCGAAAGCGUGGGGAUCAAACAGGAUUAGAUACCCUGGUAGUCCACGCCGUAAACGAUGAGUGCUAAGUGUUAGGGGGUUUCCGCCCCUUAGUGCUGCAGCUAACGCAUUAAGCACUCCGCCUGGGGAGUACGACCGCAAGGUUGAAACUCAAAGGAAUUGACGGGGACCCGCACAAGCGGUGGAGCAUGUGGUUUAAUUCGAAGCAACGCGAAGAACCUUACCAAAUCUUGACAUCCUUUGACAACUCUAGAGAUAGAGCCUUCCCCUUCGGGGGACAAAGUGACAGGUGGUGCAUGGUUGUCGUCAGCUCGUGUCGUGAGAUGUUGGGUUAAGUCCCGCAACGAGCGCAACCCUUAAGCUUAGUUGCCAUCAUUAAGUUGGGCACUCUAAGUUGACUGCCGGUGACAAACCGGAGGAAGGUGGGGAUGACGUCAAAUCAUCAUGCCCCUUAUGAUUUGGGCUACACACGUGCUACAAUGGACAAUACAAAGGGCAGCGAAACCGCGAGGUCAAGCAAAUCCCAUAAAGUUGUUCUCAGUUCGGAUUGUAGUCUGCAACUCGACUACAUGAAGCUGGAAUCGCUAGUAAUCGUAGAUCAGCAUGCUACGGUGAAUACGUUCCCGGGUCU
RNAcentral lists this ribosomal RNA (1372 nucleotides) under uncultured bacterium. RNAcentral describes it as "bacterial SSU rRNA". It matches the Rfam family "Bacterial small subunit ribosomal RNA", at positions 28 to 1381 of the family's 1533-position model. The record is from RNAcentral.